UAGUCACGUAAAGUUUUUUUU
Caenorhabditis elegans is the source of this 21-nucleotide non-coding RNA. The record is from Ensembl. NCBI's taxonomy places the organism in Eukaryota, Metazoa, Nematoda, Chromadorea, Rhabditida, Rhabditidae.